AGCGAAUCCUUAAAAGCCGGUCUCAGUUCGGAUCGGGGUCUGCAACUCGACCCCGUGAAGUCGGAGUCGCUAGUAAUCGCAGAUCAGCAACGCUGCGGUGAAUACGUUCCCGGGCCUUGUACACACCGCCCGUCACGUCAUGAAAGUCGGUAACACCCGAAGCCAGUGGCCUAACCCUCGGGAGGGAGCUGUCGAAGGUGGGAUCGGCGAUUGGGACGAAGUCGUAACAAGGUAGC
Molecule: ribosomal RNA, 236 nt
Filed under: Mycobacterium tuberculosis
Lineage: Bacteria; Bacillati; Actinomycetota; Actinomycetes; Mycobacteriales; Mycobacteriaceae
Description: partial 16S ribosomal RNA
Rfam family: Bacterial small subunit ribosomal RNA
Source: RNAcentral